Molecule: ribosomal RNA, 296 nt
Filed under: uncultured Thauera sp.
Lineage: Bacteria; Pseudomonadati; Pseudomonadota; Betaproteobacteria; Rhodocyclales; Zoogloeaceae
Description: partial 16S ribosomal RNA
Rfam family: Bacterial small subunit ribosomal RNA
Source: RNAcentral
CCCGCAACGAGCGCAACCCUUGUCACUAGUUGCCAUCAUUUGGUUGGGCACUCUAGUGAGACUGCCGGUGACAAACCGGAGGAAGGUGGGGAUGACGUCAAGUCCUCAUGGCCCUUAUGGGUAGGGCUUCACACGUCAUACAAUGGUCGGUACAGAGGGUUGCCAAGCCGCGAGGUGGAGCCAAUCCCUUAAAGCCGAUCGUAGUCCGGAUCGUAGUCUGGCAACUCGACUACGUGAAGUCGGAAUCGCUAGUAAUCGCAGAUCAGCAUGCUGCGGUGAAUACGUUCCCGGGUCUU